AAAUUUAAAAAACCUCCUUCCUAUGUUAUUUAUAGGGAGGAAUUUUUCUUUUGUUAUAACGAUAUACAUUAUUUCUAAUUAUUAGAGACAGAUUAGUUUAUUUAUUUCGAUAUUUCUAG
This 119-nucleotide non-coding RNA is filed under the name Bacillus cereus biovar anthracis str. CI. The record is from RNAcentral. Lineage: Bacteria; Bacillati; Bacillota; Bacilli; Caryophanales; Bacillaceae.